AUUGAACGCUGGCGGCAGGCCUAACACAUGCAAGUCGAGCGGAUGAAGGGAGCUUGCUCCUGGAUUCAGCGGCGGACGGGUGAGUAAUGCCUAGGAAUCUGCCUGGUAGUGGGGGAUAACGUCCGGAAACGGGCGCUAAUACCGCAUACGUCCUGAGGGAGAAAGUGGGGGAUCUUCGGACCUCACGCUAUCAGAUGAGCCUAGGUCGGAUUAGCUAGUUGGUGGGGUAAAGGCCUACCAAGGCGACGAUCCGUAACUGGUCUGAGAGGAUGAUCAGUCACACUGGAACUGAGACACGGUCCAGACUCCUACGGGAGGCAGCAGUGGGGAAUAUUGGACAAUGGGCGAAAGCCUGAUCCAGCCAUGCCGCGUGUGUGAAGAAGGUCUUCGGAUUGUAAAGCACUUUAAGUUGGGAGGAAGGGCAGUAAGUUAAUACCUUGCUGUUUUGACGUAACCAACAGAAUAAGCACCGGCGAACUUCGU
Molecule: ribosomal RNA, 483 nt
Filed under: uncultured bacterium
Lineage: Bacteria
Description: partial 16S ribosomal RNA
Rfam family: Bacterial small subunit ribosomal RNA
Source: RNAcentral